Girardinichthys multiradiatus is the source of this 588-nucleotide long non-coding RNA. RefSeq lists it as uncharacterized. Lineage: Eukaryota; Metazoa; Chordata; Actinopteri; Cyprinodontiformes; Goodeidae. The transcript is spliced from 2 exons. The record is from RefSeq and is a predicted model, not a curated record.
UUCUUCAAUCUUGGAAAACUUUCUGUCAGGCCACGGAGCUGAGUGAAGGUUUGUUGUGUUGCGUGGUGCGGUGUUUCAUUCUCUCCACUAGGGUGCGGCAAGUAGGUGCAGCUGCACACCUGUUUCCCAUUAGAGCAAUCACAUGAGGAACUUCAAAAGCUGCUGAGACCUUGGAGGAGGCGUUUGAUUGUUUACUCUGCCGAAUGGUUGCUGCCAGCUGAACCCUGCCCUGGAUUUACCUUUGAGGUUCUGCCUCAUUCUCUGUUGGCUGCCUCGUCCUUGAUAACCUGGCGUGGUUCAGUCUCCUACCAAGCUGGGAAAUACUUCAAUGAAUUUACUGCAGCUCAAGGAUCUCCCUGGAUCCACCGAAUCAGACUGCAGAAUAAUUCCAUGCUGUUUCUGUGGUUUGCUCACUUCUCCCAGCUUCAACCAAUUCAUCAAAAGUAAGCCCUGCUUCUUCCUCUUCAUCAUUCAAAUCAUCUUCCAGUUAAUAACCAUCUCUCCCUCAAUGAGCAGUUUCCUGAAACCUGAUGACCACGGAACCCUCACAUUGCCAGAAAACAUUAUUCAAUAAACCUGUUUAAACCA